Molecule: long non-coding RNA, 174 nt
Organism: Eriocheir sinensis (Chinese mitten crab)
Lineage: Eukaryota; Metazoa; Arthropoda; Malacostraca; Decapoda; Varunidae
Exons: 3
Source: RefSeq, a predicted model, not a curated record
CCCUGGUCAACUAACCAGGUAACUCACUCCCUGGUCAACUAACCAGGUAACUCACUCCCUGGUCAACUAACCAGGUAACUCACUCCCCUGGUCAACUAACCAGGUAACUCACUCCCCUGGUCAACUAACCAGGUUAACUCACUCCCCUGGUCAACUAACCAGGUAACUCACUCC